RNAcentral lists this ribosomal RNA (386 nucleotides) under Paraphysomonas sp. RNAcentral's name for it is "partial small subunit ribosomal RNA". It matches the Rfam family "Eukaryotic small subunit ribosomal RNA", at positions 587 to 975 of the family's 1831-position model. The record is from RNAcentral. Lineage: Eukaryota; Chrysophyceae; Chromulinales; Paraphysomonadaceae.
AGCUCCAAUAGCGUAUACUAAAGUUGUUGCAGUUAAAAAGCUCGUAGUUGAAUUUCUGGUCGUGGCGACCGGUCCGCCCCUCACGGGGUGUGCACCUGGUCUCUGCGUCCAUCCUCGGGGAGAGCGCGUCUGGCAUUCAGUUGUCGGGCGCGGGAUCCUCGUCAUUUACUGUGAGCAAAAUAGAGUGUUCAAAGCAGGCUUAGGCCGUUGAAUACAUUAGCAUGGAAUAAUAAGAUAGGACCUUGGUCUAUUUUGUUGGUUUGCAUUCCAAGGUAAUGAUUAAUAGGGAUAGUUGGGGGUAUUCGUAUUCAAUUGUCAGAGGUGAAAUUCUUGGAUUUAUGGAAGACGAACUACUGCGAAAGCAUUUACCAAGGAUGUUUUCAUUA